UCUCCGUUGGUGAACCAGCGGAGGGAUCAUUAAAAAUUUGUGAAACAUGGCACUUUUUUAAAAAUACAUCUCCACCUUGUGUGCAACGUUCCGAGACCCUAUAUCGUUAUCUUUUAGGUCCCGGAACGGGGCACGUCUACCACCUCACAACAUCACAAUUCUCUUAUUUGUCUGGACAUUUUUUAUCACGUAUUAACUUAAUUAGAAAAUACAACUUUCAACAACGGUUCUUUUGGCUCUCGCAUCGAUGCAGAACGCAGCAGAUCGGAAGAGCACAAG
RNAcentral lists this unclassified non-coding RNA (279 nucleotides) under plant metagenome. RNAcentral's name for it is "partial contains small subunit ribosomal RNA, internal transcribed spacer 1, and 5.8S ribosomal RNA". The record is from RNAcentral.